Molecule: long non-coding RNA, 690 nt
Organism: Saccostrea cuccullata (small rock oyster)
Lineage: Eukaryota; Metazoa; Mollusca; Bivalvia; Ostreida; Ostreidae
Exons: 3
Source: RefSeq, a predicted model, not a curated record
UAGGCAUCACUGAAGAUUUCCACAUAUUGCUUAUAAGUCCAUGACAGGAAGUUGAGAAUUAAAGUUGACAGGACAUCAUGCACUGUGCUCGGUACCAGCUUUUGAGGGAACCAACCUCAAUGGACAUAGCACGCUACAUCAUAGGACGAUAGAGCUGCCUGGUCUUUUAAGAGAAACUCCAAACUUUGAUGACUGAUGGAAAAGCCUCACAUCCCCCCACUGCUAAAGAACCUCUUAUCGUAAUCACCAGCCAUUAAUCAGCGAUCACAGUUAUAAAAGCUCCAACUAGUCCAAGCUGCAAGUGUGAAGAAGAAGAAAAAGAGGAAGUCAGGAUCAUGAAGAAUCUCGCAGAAACAUUUACAGGAACAAAUUUUAAAACUUGUUAAAUACAAAAAAGUUGGAGGAUGACAUGGAUGACUAUAAAAACCAAAUUGGGAAUAACCUCAAAAGACUAAUAUAAUUAAUUAAAAUCUCACACGUUUGUCUUUUAUCUAAGAAAAUGUAAUUAUCUGGUAAUGCUUAAAAAAAUUACAUGCACAUGUACUAGCUUCUUACAUACUUUGUGGAUUUAAUCAUGAUUGUAGAUUUGUAGUUACUUCCAAAGAUGAUAGUUUUCAAAAUGUUUAAUAUACUGAGAAUUUUAUAGUGGAUAGUUUGUUUUUUUAAUUCACCCAUAUGAAUCAAGAUGUU